Molecule: long non-coding RNA, 1657 nt
Filed under: Hordeum vulgare
Lineage: Eukaryota; Viridiplantae; Streptophyta; Magnoliopsida; Poales; Poaceae
Description: long non-coding RNA (HVUL_LNC013991)
Source: RNAcentral
GGUGAGUAGGUGAGGAGGUGGGCGCGGCAGCGGCGGCGGCGCAGGGAGGCGCGACGGCAGCGGUGGCGGCGGCUACCCUAGGGUUGGAACGAAAGAACUGAUACCAUCUAGAGAGAUGAAUUGUAAUACGAUGAUUUCAUUAGGGGUGCUGGUGCACGUAUAUAUAAUACAAGGGAAGGCCUCUACCUCAACUAUACAAGACUAGGAGGUGGGCCACAAUUGUAAUACACAUGCAACACAAAUACAUAUUCAACACCAUGAAUGCUCCUUAUAGCAGUUUGCUGCCAUACAUUUAACUGUGUUUCCUUAUUUCAGUGUCAUGCAAUAUACCUUGAUGCUGAAUCUGGCCCUGAAUAGGACUUUUGUACUGCUAUAUGUAAUUGUGUGAGACCGAAAUCAGAUGAUGCACCAUGGAUGACUGAAUUAAUACGGAAGUGGGAGGCUGUGCUCUAGCAUGUGUGGUUCUUAUUAGCAAAUUUGGUUGCACUCGUUCACUCCGGAAGCAUGAGAGGAAGAGGAUGAAUGCGCCAUUGUUGCCAAGCACUGUGAGCGGCGCUGUUGUGUUUCGCUGUUUGGGCGAGGUGAUGGUGGGGGAUUUUUUGCUGGUCUAGCACUAGUCUUCCAAAGCAAGCCUCUUCUGACGCGGCACAACUCCGUCUGUACCGCCGGGGAGUUAACGACGAUCAACAUAAUGAAUGCAUCUAACUGUGGACCAUGUGACUGUGCAGUAGAUAGCUGUACAUUCAGCAUACGUCAGAGAAUACACCUCUUCACGCACAUCUCAGUGCAUCUGUUCGGUCAUGAAUUUAGGAUCAUCUGCAGCCUAGUCCCUUAGCCUACACAUUUGGGUAUCCUAACCCGAAUCCGAACCGAACCGAAUUAUCUGAAUUGUCAGGUAAUUCGGGUAUCAAGUUAAGGUUCAUUUCUUAUUUUUUGGCUGUUCGGGUUUCAGGUUAGGGUUCAAGUUUUAGUCUGAAAAUCUAAAAUAACCAUAUUAUCCGGGUUAUUCAUACUAAUCAAAGUAUUCAUGCUAUUAUUAUACUGACAUGUUACCCAUACUAACUAAAAUAGCCAGACUAUCCAAAAUAACCAUACUAUUCAAAUUAUUCAUACCAAACAUUGAUGUGUGCACCAAAUAUCUUUGGUGUACCCGAAUUAUCCGAAACAAAGUUUUAGGUAAUUUGGGUUCGGUUACUCUUUUUGCAGAAAAAAAUCCGGUUACCAUUUUUGAGUAUUCGAAUUACCCAUAACCCGAACUAUCCGAACCGAAGUAACCAAAAUACCCGAAAACUCAGGCUGACUAGUCCCAAAUGGAACAUCCGUUAACGAGAGUGAAAUGUUACUGAAAUAAUCAGGAGGUUUGUUUCUCCGUCCCAUGUGUUGGGGCCUGCUAUCUUCUUCAAUUACCAUCACAUCUACUGCGACCCAUGUCAUUGAGCACAUGAAAGAAAAAUGAAAAAAAGGAAUGCAUACCAACCUUUUCUCUCGUGAAUAAUGAUUUCAGGUCAUUGCCCUUUAUAUACACCACCAUAUCUUCAUGCUGGCGCGCAUAUUGCAACCUCCCUAUUUCCAUUUAUUUUCAUGGUGUUGGUAGAAUUUGCUUUUCUUAACAACACAGCUUAGUAUAUCAAAAUAGGUGAUAGUCACAUAUACAUAU